GACGAACGCUGGCGGCGUGCUUAACACAUGCAAGUCGAACGGAAAGGCCCUGCUUUUGUGGGGUGCUCGAGUGGCGAACGGGUGAGUAACACGUGAGUAACCUGCCCUUGACUUUGGGAUAACUUCAGGAAACUGGGGCUAAUACCGGUUAGGAGCUCCUGCUGCAUGGUGGGGGUUGGAAAGUUUCGGCGGUUGGGGAUGGACUCGCGGCUUAUCAGCUUGUUGGUGGGGUAGUGGCUUACCAAGGCUUUGACGGGUAGCCGGCCUGAGAGGGUGACCGGCCACAUUGGGACUGAGAUACGGCCCAGACUCCUACGGGAGGCAGCAGUGGGGAAUAUUGCACAAUGGGCGGAAGCCUGAUGCAGCAACGCCGCGUGCGGGAUGACGGCCUUCGGGUUGUAAACCGCUUUCGCCUGUGACGAAGCGUGAGUGACGGUAAUGGGUAAAGAAGCACCGGCUAACUACGU
RNAcentral lists this ribosomal RNA (467 nucleotides) under uncultured bacterium. RNAcentral describes it as "partial 16S ribosomal RNA". It matches the Rfam family "Bacterial small subunit ribosomal RNA", at positions 28 to 506 of the family's 1533-position model. The record is from RNAcentral.